AGAGUGAGAGAGAGAGAGAAUAAGAAGAAGAAAAACUUGCUUUCUCUUUACCCUUCACCUCAUGUCCCAUGUGAUGGUAACAAAACCCUAGUCUGGGCCCCUUUCUGGACACACCACCAAUUAUUAUAACAACCUUUGAGUCCAUCUUUAGCUAAGAAAUUUUCAAUGGCAGGAAAGUGGACAAGGGUUUGCAAGCAUAUGAAACUUGCACCUCUAAUUCAAAUAAAUCAUAGGAAGAGUACGUCAAUUCACGUGCAUCGUGCUGGAGGUGAUAGAGAAAGAAA
Long non-coding RNA from Neltuma alba, 284 nucleotides. RefSeq lists it as uncharacterized. Lineage: Eukaryota; Viridiplantae; Streptophyta; Magnoliopsida; Fabales; Fabaceae. The transcript has 3 exons. The record is from RefSeq and is a predicted model, not a curated record.